Molecule: long non-coding RNA, 680 nt
Organism: Homo sapiens (human)
Lineage: Eukaryota; Metazoa; Chordata; Mammalia; Primates; Hominidae
Gene: MAGI2-AS3
Product: MAGI2 antisense RNA 3
Source: Ensembl
AGCCGGAGCGAGCAGUAGCCGAGCUGUAAUGUCUUACAAUAACAGAAUGCAGGAGAGCACAUAUCAAUGAAGAAAAGACAAAAUGUACUUAUCCAUGAAGCUGAGGUUAAGAAACCAGUGUCUUCAAGAGCCAGGGACAGCACUGGGUCUGUGCAGAGUUGAGAGAUGGUGAUGACAUGUGACAGAGCUCCUUGCUGCUCAAAUUUUAUGCCAGAUAAAAUAUUCACCUUCUCGGACUCCCUGGCACCAGGCAUGGCCAUGUAAUCCUACAGCACAGCUGAUGAAAGAGAAGACAUCUUGCUGCUAUUUGACAAGCAAGAAGAUAAAAGCUUUCCUAUAAAGAUGAUGGAGCAAAAAAAUAGAAGGGGCCUAGACUCCCUACCUUCACACUUCCUGCUAUAAAAGCAUUGCUAUUAUAAGGUUAAUCUGCAGAAACAGACUUCUAUGUCAUAUGCUUAAAUGCAUCAAAAUUCAUACAAUAUCCAUUAAAUUGGUAAAAGUAUCCAUUUUAAAGGAUUAAUCUGAGGGACCCACAGACACUUAACACAAUCAAAUCUCAGAAAAAAAAUCAGUUAUUUCAUUGUGAUUUUGAGGCUGAUCUUUUAUGAUCUUUUAGUUAUCAAACUGUUAAAUACAUUUUAACUUUCAAAUUUUAUGAAUAAAGGAGAUGAAUCCUGUUA